AUGCUUGAUGCCGCGUGAGUGAAGAAGGCCUUUGGGUUGUAAAGCUCUUUUGUAGGGGAAGAUAANACUGUACCCUAAGAAUAAGGUCCGGCUAACUUCGUGCCAGCAGCCGCGGUAAUACGAAGGGACCUAGCGUAGUUCGGAAUUACUGGGCGUAAAGCGCGCGUAGGCCGUUGAGUUAGUUAAUUGUGAAAUCCCAAAGCUUAACUUUGGAACUGCAAUUAAAACUGCUCGACUAGAGUUUGAUAGAGGAAAGCGGAAUACAUAGUGUAGAGGUGAAAUUCGUAGAUAUUAUGUAGAACACCAGUUGCGAAGGCGGCUUUCUGGGUCAACACUGACGCUGAGGCGCGAAAGUAUGGGUAGCAAAGAGGAUUAGAUACCCUCGUAGUCCAUACCAUAAACGAUGAUUGCUAGAUGUUGGAAAUUUAUUUUCAGUAUCGCAGCUAACGCAUUAAGCAAUCCGCCUGGGGAGUACGACCGCAAGGUUAAAACUCAAAUGAAUUGACGGGGACCCGCACAAGCGGUGGAGCAUGUGGUUUAGUUCGAAGAUACGCGCAGAACCUUACCAACCCUUGACAUGUCUGUCGCGAGUUUAGGAAACUAGACUUUUCGGUUCGGCCGGACAGAACACAGGUGCUGCAUGGCUGUCGUCAGCUCGUGUCGUGAGAUGUUGGGUUAAG
Molecule: ribosomal RNA, 680 nt
Filed under: uncultured bacterium
Lineage: Bacteria
Description: bacterial SSU rRNA
Rfam family: Bacterial small subunit ribosomal RNA
Source: RNAcentral